Molecule: RNA transcript, 1668 nt
Organism: Triticum aestivum (bread wheat)
Lineage: Eukaryota; Viridiplantae; Streptophyta; Magnoliopsida; Poales; Poaceae
Gene name: GDSL esterase/lipase At5g45910-like
Exons: 3
Source: RefSeq, a predicted model, not a curated record
UCAUCCGUUCCAUCCAUUCAAAGUGCUCUGCUCCGCUCUGCUCUCUGCCCCGCCCGCCGGCUCAUCUCCGCGCGCAGAGGCAGCGUCGCAGCGAGCACACCACCUUCGACCCCUCCUCCUCCCCGUAGCCUGCCGGCUCUUCCCGCCGCCUCGCUUGCGAGUGAGACGAUGGCGAGGCCGUCGUCGUCGCCGAUGGCGACGAGGCUGCCGCUGUUGCUUGUGCUGCUGUCGUCGCUGGCCCUGCAGGCGGCGGCGCAGAAGUACAAUGCGGUGUACAGCUUCGGCGACUCGAUCACGGACACGGGCAACCUGUGCACCAACGGCCGCCCCUCGGCGAUCACCUUCACGCAGCCGCCCUACGGCGAGACCUACUUCGGGAGCCCCACCUGCCGCUGAUCCGACGGCCGGGUCAUCGUCGACUUCCUCAGCACCAAGUACGGCCUCCCCUUCCUGCCCCCCUCCAAGUCCACCUCCGCCGACUUCAAGAAGGGCGCCAACAUGGCCAUCACCGGCGCCACCGCCAUGGACGCCCCCUUCUUCCGCUCCCUCGGCCUCUCGGACAAGAUCUGGAACAACGGGCCCAUCAGCUUCCAGCUCCAGUGGUUCCAGACCAUCACCUCCUCCGUCUGCGGCAGCAGCUGCAAGAGCUACCUGGCCAACUCGCUCUUCAUCUUCGGGGAGUUCGGGGGGAACGACUACAACGCGAUGCUGUUCGGCAACUACAACACGGACCAGGCGAGCACGUACGCGCCGCAGAUCGUGGACACCAUCGGCGCCGGCGUGGAGAAGCUGGUCGCGAUGGGCGCGGUGGACGUGGUGGUGCCGGGGGUGCUCCCCAUCGGCUGCUUCCCCAUCUACCUCACCAUCUACGGCACCUCCAGCGCCGCCGACUACGACUCCCUCGGCUGCCUCAAGAAGUUCAACGACCUCUCCACGUACCACAACAGCCUGCUGCAGGCCAAGGUGUCGGCGCUCCAGGCCAAGUACAAGUCGGCGCGCAUCAUGUACGCCGACUUCUACGCCGGGGUGUACGACAUGGUCCAGAGCCCCAGCAAAUACGGGUUCAGCUCGGUGUUCGAGGCGUGCUGCGGGUCGGGGGGAGGCAAGUACAACUACGCCAACAGCGCGCGGUGCGGCAUGUCCGGCGCCUCCGCCUGCGCCAGCCCGGCGUCGCACCUCAGCUGGGACGGCAUCCACCUCACCGAGGCCGCCUACAAGCAGAUCACCGACGGCUGGCUCAACGGCGCCUUCUGCCACCCAGGCAUCACCCACUAGCCAGCCACUCCCACUGGUCGAUCAAUCAGCUCAUGCAUCGUCGUCCAUGGAUCCAUCAUUAAUCAAUCAAUCAAUCGAUUAUUAUUAUUAUAUUAUUAUAAUUAUUUGUUCAGUCGGGUUAAUUUUUAGGAAACGUUUCUGGGGACUGGCUAAGGCUGGGUUCCUGGUCUGGUCCGGUGGCAAAAAAUCGGGGCGCGUGUGUGGUGAUGAAGAAAGGGGGGAAAAUGACGGCAACUCUCGUGGAAUAGUACUGCCUGUGUUGCUGUGAACCUGUAACCUCCCCGCAAAAAAAAAAAAAAGAACCUGUAACCUGAUAAUUGUUUUGUUCCACGGAAAAGUGGUACAGUUGAAUGAAAAGGAAUGAAAUAAUAAACACGAUAAUAAUGGAAGGAA